UGGACACACUGACUUAGGAAAGAUAACUCUGUUGCUUCUGCUCACACAAUUGAAUGUUUCUGUGUUUGGUUGUGCUCUCUGUCUGAAUCGCAGAGUUUCACCAUGCAUGGUUGCAUUUAUGGGGCAGCUGUGUGCUGGGGCAGAUUUGAAGCCACGUGCUUCUGACUCAGAACAUGAGUUAAUAUGCAACUUCAGAAACUGAAUCUAGGUUGACGUUUCAAUGCCACGUUCUCAGAGAUGGUUUUUGGAUGAGACAUCAGUUUGGGUUUCAUUAGUAUGGUCCAGAUUUAUUUUUCAACAGAAGAAAAAGAUGAUCUGACCUUCUUCAUGUUGCACUUAUAAAAAAAACUAAACCUGGGCUAUAUGAAAUCUAGUUGCAAUGCUUUUUCGAUGACAAUAAAGACCACUUUCAGAAGUGUUUGAAAACUUGUGAGACAACUAAAGCCCAAGAGAAACACACUUUUCCAUUCAGUGUCCUGGAAAUUAUCUAGGUACAACAAAGUGCUGAAUAGUAUGAUCCAGAAGCCUUUUCCAGUCAGAUUUCCAGUUGACUAGUCACUGUUGAAGCCAAUCCUGCAAGUUUAAUUCCUGUCAAGUUAGCAUUGCAACAGCAUGCUAAUCACAUUAUAGGACAGCAACAUGAAUGUGUCUGAGAGAUGUUGACUGCCAUUCAGCCAGAGCUAAAGUGAUUUCAGAACGAUAAGGAACAUUUUUAUUCCUUUGUACAAUCAACUGCAGCAAUUUAAAUGGCAUAUCUACUGAGUACGCCCGCAAGAAAAUGCAUCUCUGGUGACGCAUUUGUACUUUGAGAAAUUUACUUUGAACUUUGAAGCAGAAGUGGUCUUCAGCUCAGAGAUAUGCAACUGCAUCAGAAAAGCAGGGUUCUUUUGAAGAUCUUGGCCCAGAGUUACACGUUGACUGUGGUUCUUUGUGGGAACGGGACCCCCUAUCGGGAUUUCAUAACCGACCAUUGCUGUUCGGCAUGCCAAGGGCUCAGCCUAAGAGUCCAGCUCAGCUUUGAAGGCCUAGGAUCUCAGGGCUCUGGAGGUGGGCAGAUUGAGGGGUCAGUGUCAUGGCAGGAGACCCCUGUGUUGUCAGGGGAGUCUGAGGCUGUGUGCCCAGAGACCCAAGAUCUUUGAGAUCUUCUGGCAGAGCUCAAAAAAAGUGACUUAACGGACUUUGAACAUCAUAAACCAGCAAGUUUGUUACGUCUCCCCACUCGCUGUGAAAAUGGAGAUACCUCUUUCUCCCUUAUUAGGGGGAGAGAGCGCCUGUAGUAUGUCGAAUACCGGAUGAAAUGCGAAGUCUUUGGGUUAACUGCAAGUCUGUGUCUUUGCUGUUGCUUUGCUCACGCUUGAGUGCUUGGUGGCAGGUGACGACGCUUUUUUGCCGUGGGGGGAGAGGGAUUGUUAUUUGCUGCCGCUUACGUGCGGGAGGGGAGCUGGGGGGGGGGACUCUGGGGUUCUAACAUUUAACUGUUGUUCAUUCCUUGAGGCAUUCCCCUGUUUUCAUGGAUGGUUGUGAAGAAAAAGCAUUUCAGGAUGUAUAUUGUAUACAUUUCUCUGACAUUAAAUGUACCUUUGAAACUUAAUUUAUAGACUGGAGAUAAAAGAGAUUGUAGACACUGGAACUAUGUCAAGCAGCUUCUACAGAGAGAAAAAAAAGUUGACUUUUGGAGUCAGGACCUAGCAUCAGAUUGUUUUUUCUGCUCAGAAGCUUUAACAAGCCGUAGACUUUAAUAGAUUUAAAUUCAUGUAGAUGAAACAAGCACGUAAAACAUUACCUAAUAACUUUUGAGGACCACAAGAUAACUGCUCUUCAAACAAAAUUACAAUCCUUGAACUUUGACAGGUGCUUACAAUAUAGGCAUAAAGGAGGAAAAUUGCUGAGGAAAUGAUUUGUAACAGAAAUUUCUGAACCUUCCUCAGUGACAUUAACAGAUGCCAAAUAAGUUCAAUGCAGGAUUUCACAAGAUUUGAAUUCUAUUUAUGCUAUCAACUGCUACAGUGGGUAGAUGACCAUGGAUGCAAACUAUGUUUAACGAC
Molecule: long non-coding RNA, 2045 nt
Organism: Mobula hypostoma (lesser devil ray)
Lineage: Eukaryota; Metazoa; Chordata; Chondrichthyes; Myliobatiformes; Myliobatidae
Exons: 4
Source: RefSeq, a predicted model, not a curated record